ACCGAGCAUUCGGUCGACAAAAAUGGCAGCAAAACAUAGACAUGUAGCGAGAAAGUCGAAGUAAAUUGAAUAUUAAAGUUAUUAGCCGAUCAGGAGAUCGGAUCACGUGACUUUGUGGGGAUCCCCCUUUCAACUUAAACGGGUGUAUACAUGACGGUUCGGGCAGCCGAACGCGGACAGGCGAAAAGACAAAUAAAAACCAAUCAAACAAACACACGCACCUUUUCGUUAGAUUCCGGCA
Molecule: long non-coding RNA, 241 nt
Organism: Dreissena polymorpha
Lineage: Eukaryota; Metazoa; Mollusca; Bivalvia; Myida; Dreissenidae
Exons: 3
Source: RefSeq, a predicted model, not a curated record